UUCAGAAUAGCUUAAACUAAAGCAUUGAUUUUGUAAUUCAAAGAUAUAAUUUUUUCUGAAA
This 61-nucleotide transfer RNA is filed under the name Bulinus globosus. RNAcentral's name for it is "tRNA-Thr". It matches the Rfam family "tRNA". From Rfam's summary of the family: Transfer RNA (tRNA) molecules are approximately 80 nucleotides in length. Their secondary structure includes four short double-helical elements and three loops (D, anti-codon, and T loops). Further hydrogen bonds mediate the characteristic L-shaped molecular structure. tRNAs have two regions of fundamental functional importance: the anti-codon, which is responsible for specific mRNA codon recognition, and the 3' end, to which the tRNAs corresponding amino acid is attached (by aminoacyl-tRNA synthetases). tRNAs cope with the degeneracy of the genetic code in two manners: having more than one tRNA (with a specific anti-codon) for a particular amino acid; and 'wobble' base-pairing, i.e. permitting non-standard base-pairing at the 3rd anti-codon position. The record is from RNAcentral. Lineage: Eukaryota; Metazoa; Mollusca; Gastropoda; Planorbidae.